RNAcentral lists this ribosomal RNA (423 nucleotides) under Triticum aestivum (bread wheat). Its description in RNAcentral is "partial small subunit ribosomal RNA". Lineage: Eukaryota; Viridiplantae; Streptophyta; Magnoliopsida; Poales; Poaceae. The record is from RNAcentral.
AUGCUGCCUUUGGAUUUCAGGUUCUUGGGGAUGUACCGUCACCCCCCAACCGGCGAAUACAGGUACAGGGUACUGAUGUACCCGUGUCCGGCAGCUGGGAGGGAAGCUGGCUGCUAUGUUUUAUCGUUGAGCUCCGGCCAACCACCUAGAUGCGUCGUCGGGCCGGGGGAAGUGCAUAAAGAAGUCAUAUUCGGCACCAAGUCUGUGCUAGUCCGUGGCGGGCUGCAUUGGUACCGGGUGCAGCAGCACGUGGGCGAAAGCAACAUGAUAAUUGUGUUUGACACCACAGCCAAGACGUUCCGACAGAUGCGCGUCCCCGUUGUUCGUGGUACCACCUGUGAUGGGCUGUUUGAGAUGGAUAGCAUGCUCGGCAUGUCUAGCUUUAACGACAAAGCGACAAGCAUUGAUAUUUGGGUGUUGUAG